UACGGGGGGGGCAAGCGUUGUUCGGAAUUACUGGGCGUAAAGGGUGCGUAGGCGGUUCGCUAAGUUGGAUGUGAAAACUAUGGGCUCAACCCAUAGCCUGCAUCCAAUACUGACGAACUAGAGUUCUGGAGGGGGUAGCGGAAUUCCUGGUGUAGCGGUGAAAUGCGUAGAUAUCAGGAGGAACACCGGUGGCGAAGGCGGCUACCUGGACAGAGUCUGACGCUGAGGCACGAAAGCUAGGGGAGCAAACAGGAUUAGAUACCCUGGUAGUCCUAGCCCUAAACGAUGGAUACUUGGUGUGACUGGGAUUGAAUCCAGUCGUGCCGAAGCUAACGCAUUAAGUAUCCCGCCUGGGGAGUACGGUCGCAAGGCUGAA
Molecule: ribosomal RNA, 376 nt
Filed under: uncultured bacterium
Lineage: Bacteria
Description: bacterial SSU rRNA
Rfam family: Bacterial small subunit ribosomal RNA
Source: RNAcentral